GGAUUUAUGGUGUAAUGGUUGGUACGCUGGACUUUGAAUCCAGGGAUCCGAGCUCAAAUCUCGAUGAAACCU
Nephila pilipes (giant wood spider) is the source of this 72-nucleotide non-coding RNA. Lineage: Eukaryota; Metazoa; Arthropoda; Arachnida; Araneae; Nephilidae. The record is from the annotation of a GenBank genome assembly.